GACAGCAGUAGCCGCGGUAAUACGUAGGUGGCAAGCGUUGUCCGGAAUUAUUGGGCGUAAAGGGCUCGCAGGCGGUUUCUUAAGUCUGAUGUGAAAGCCCCCGGCUCAACCGGGGAGGGUCAUUGGAAACUGGGAAACUUGAGUGCAGAAGAGGAGAGUGGAAUUCCACGUGUAGCGGUGAAAUGCGUAGAGAUGUGGAGGAACACCAGUGGCGAAGGCGACUCUCUGGUCUGUAACUGACGCUGAGGAGCGAAAGCGUGGGGAGCGAACAGGAUUAGAUACCCCUGUAGUCCCUGUCUCUUAUAA
This 306-nucleotide ribosomal RNA is filed under the name uncultured bacterium. RNAcentral's name for it is "partial 16S ribosomal RNA". It matches the Rfam family "Bacterial small subunit ribosomal RNA", at positions 507 to 809 of the family's 1533-position model. The record is from RNAcentral.